This 449-nucleotide ribosomal RNA is filed under the name uncultured bacterium. RNAcentral's name for it is "bacterial SSU rRNA". It matches the Rfam family "Bacterial small subunit ribosomal RNA", at positions 354 to 796 of the family's 1533-position model. The record is from RNAcentral.
GUGGGGAAUAUUGCGCAAUGGGGGCAACCCUGACGCAGCAACGCCGCGUGUGUGAUGAAGGCCUUCGGGUCGUAAAGCACUGUGAGGUGGAACGAGCCGCCGGGGGCUAAUACCUUCCGGCCCGACGGUACCACCAGAGGAAGCACCGGCUAACCCUGUGCCAGCAGCCGCGGUAAUACAGGGGGUGCAAGCGUUGUUCGGAAUUAUUGGGCGUAAAGCGCGUGUAGGCGGACCGUUAAGUCUGGUGUGAAAUCCCUUGGCUCAACUGAGGACGUGCAUUGGAUACUGACGGUCUUGAGUCCUGGAGAGGGUAGCGGAAUUCCCAGUGUAGAGGUGAAAUUCGUAGAUAUUGGGAGGAACACCGGUGGCGAAGGCGGCUACCUGGACAGUGACUGACGCUGAGACGCGAAAGCAUGGGUAGCAAACAGGAUUAGAAACCCUGGUAGUCC